CUGUGCUGCUCAGACUGGUCUCUAGUCACUUGAGGCUAUUGCAAGAUUCCCUUUAUUUCCCUUAGAGACUGAGGGUGCCCUCUUGAAAAACCCUUCUGCCGUCUGAAGUUUGACAUCUGUAGCUUGUUUGCAAAAACAAGUGGAGCUUUUUCGUUAGGGGCAAAAGAUGGUUGUGGUUGUUUUCCUCACUGCUCCGAAGAAAGGCUGUUCACUGUCUCCUGGGGUUUAGUCACGUGACUCCCCAGAGGACGCUCUGGCUGCUUUAGACGCGGCGUUAGAGAGCUGCUUUCUAGAUGGGAAUUCCAUGACUGAAUAAGAAACAGUCUUGCCCCUGGCCAGUGGCCUCAGCAAAGCAGUGAUGAGGAUAAAGAGCCUGGCGUCAGAGUCCAAGUGCUCAGGAUGUUCUUAAAAAGUUUUUUUUUUUUUUUUAAAAUGUUAUCCUGUUACACGUCAGUUUAUUCCCAGUAACCUGGAUGUUCUUCUAGCACCAUGGAAACAGUCUGCCAUCCCAUGCUCCAGCAGCUCGCUGUGUUCCCACUGGUCAUUCAAGAAAGGAAACGAGGCUGUUCGACAUAAGGUUAAUGGAGACACCCACCAAAGGUUUCUGUUGGUCCAAUCACUGAACCUUCCGUUCCCUUAUUUCCAGAUGUAAUUAGCAGAACUGACACUAAAAUAUGCUCUCAUGGCACUACACGGAUAACAGCGUGGCCUUCUACUGAAAGAUCAUCCGCAGUGUGACUGAUAUUAUAGUGAUCCUCUUCAGAGCACUUUGCAGCCAGCCAUCAGCCAAUUCAUCCUGACAACCACCUGGGAGGCAGAGCACUUCAGGGCAAUUAACAGCUGCUUUCUGGGAUCCUAAAGGAAAUUCAGAAAUGUGGGUCAUCUUAUGCAAUAUGACAGCAAGAUUUGUGAUCUACUGGUCUAAGCACAGGACUGGGAGACAAUGGGAGACAGCUUCAUACCCUUAUGGUCCCUUGACAUCUAUAAAAUCGCUGGAGCAGUCUAAAGCGGCCC
Chelonia mydas (Green sea turtle) is the source of this 1014-nucleotide long non-coding RNA. RefSeq lists it as uncharacterized. Lineage: Eukaryota; Metazoa; Chordata; Testudines; Cheloniidae. The record is from RefSeq and is a predicted model, not a curated record. The transcript is spliced from 3 exons.